ACAAAGAAUAAUUAUCUUAAAGUCAAAGUAAUUUCAUCUUUGAAUAAUAAAAUCAAUAUUGAUUGUUGAUUUAGCCUUUUUCAAACAAAUUCAAUUGAAUAUGUCUUUUGAUCUUUUUAUUCAUAAUAUUAAGAGUAAUUCUUCUGAAUUUAUUAAAGCAAUAAAUACAAAAAAGAUGCAUAAAUCUGUAAAAUUUAUAUUAAAAGAAAAGUGACAAAAUAAAAAAUAAAAAAAUCAUCAUAAGAAAAAAUAACAAAAUAGAUUAAAAUAUAAAAAUACAAAAUCUAAUUAUAUUAAGAGAAAUGUCAU
This 309-nucleotide long non-coding RNA is filed under the name Physcomitrium patens. RNAcentral's name for it is "long non-coding RNA (PPAT_LNC005029)". Lineage: Eukaryota; Viridiplantae; Streptophyta; Bryopsida; Funariales; Funariaceae. The record is from RNAcentral.